This 1964-nucleotide long non-coding RNA is filed under the name Sus scrofa (pig). RNAcentral describes it as "lncRNA (ENSSSCG00030006886.1)". Lineage: Eukaryota; Metazoa; Chordata; Mammalia; Artiodactyla; Suidae. The record is from RNAcentral.
AAGUACCAUGUUAAAUGGAUCUUGGGGUAUCUUCCUUAGUUCUGACACUAUAAUAACCUUUAAUAAAAAUAAUAUUAAGAAUAUCAUUUUUGGUCUCUGGCCACCUGUUCUUCAUCUUAAAGUCUUAAAACACUAUGAGUUGAGGAGGGGACUCUUAUUGGGAAAACAUUUGUUCUUACAUAUUUUUCACUUCCUUCUGGAGAUUAUUCCAUCCUCCACAUUGAAAGGAAACACUUGUAUAGCCUGAAGUGUCUUUUAAGGUGUAUACUGUGUUCAUUAAUGACUCGUUGGUAAUAAACUUUAUGCCAUACUAUAAGAGAGCUCAAUUCUAGUAUCUACUAGAUGUUAUAAUUAUUACUGCAUAUAGAUUAUUUUAAGAAGUAUAUGAAGUAUUUCAAGUGAAAAAAGCAAGUUGCAAAGGAGUCAUUAUUUUAUGCUAUCAUUUGUAUUUUAUAAAAUGCUAAGUAUGUACUUUUAUUUACAGAGUGUUUUUACAAAUGAAACUGGUAACAGGGAGAGGAAAACUGGGGCACUGGAGAUUCUGUUUUGGAAGGAGACUUACCAUUUGCUGCAUACAUUUUUGUGCAAUUUUGGUGAAAAGUGGCAUAUCAAUUUUAAGAAAAUAUUAGUGCAUAUAGUUAAUACUCCUAUAAAAAGAUGGAUUGGAGUAGAAUAUUCUCCAAGAUUCCUUUCACUCUAAAAGUCUAGAAUUCUAAGCUUAUUUGUGUGCUCAGAUAGCCAGUCUAUAUCCAAGGAGAGCAAAACCAGUCCCUGCUAUUGAGGGAUUUAUAGUCUCAAAGGGUUGGGCACUGGUACAUACAUGCCAUGGAGGAUAUGAGAAAUAUGUUGCCAUUUAUAGAAAAGCCUGGCUCUCUUUUGCAGAUCAAGUUGUUCUAGACAGUCUUGUAAAAAUAACUUAGCUAUGUUAACCCACAAAAAUUGAAGAAUUAUUUGAGAUGGAAGUUCAUCUAAAAGUUACUAUAUUCUUCCCUACUUCACCAGGAUAUGAUAUGAAUGCAAUACAAUACUAUUGGUAUGAACUGUCCUUAUUUAUAAGAUUAGGAACUUGUUAUAGUAGUAUCAUUAAAGUCUUUUGAGGGGCAUAGAUAGGGCUGUUGCUCUUAAGUUUAGUGACAUCACUCCUAAAUUUAGUGAUGUACUUUUUCAUAGUGGUGUUUUUCUGGAUUCCUCUGUAGAUCUCAUUAUUGACACCUCUCAAAACCCUGACCUGAGGAAGAAACACUUUGCUCCAUUUCAAAUUCACUAGCCUAAUAUAUUAGACUUAGAGAACAGCUAGUAGUAAUUUUUAGGACAUUAUGCAAAGUAUAAAUAGGACCCGAGUUUGCACCACACCUUUAAAUAGCACCCAUCUAUCUUACGGAUGGACUUCGUGAAAUCCACUUCCGUUGCUUAGAGUUCUUAUUUUUAUUAGUUCCUCAUUCUUAUCUGUGUUCCUUAUAGGCGUGAUUUUCUAGUAGCUUAGGACAUGGCAUAGAAAUAAAGGAUGUUCAAGAAUGGCAAGAAAUGAAGGGAAGAACUCCAUGGGAAAUGUUAAAACUGAAAAGGCCAAAUUUUACAAUAACAUGUAAAUAACUAGUCACAGGAUUCUGUCAAGAAAUUUCCAAAUGUGGAAUUCCUGUUGUGUGUGGCUCAGUGGGUUAAGAACCCGACGAGUAUCCAUGAUGACGCAGGUUCGAUUCUUGGCCUUGCUCAGUAGGUUAAGGAUCCAGUGUUGCUGCAGCUCAGAUCCAGCAUUGCUACGGCUGCACUGUAGGCUGGCAACUACAGCUCUGAUUCAACCCCUGGCCCAGGAACUUCUGUAUGCUGCAGGUGCAGCCCUAAAAGGAAAAAAAAUUCCAAAUCAAUUGUUAGAGUAUAUAUUGAACAUCAGUUAUUUCGUUCUUCUUGUUCAGGGAAAUAUAGAGACUGGAAAGAACACAAUUUUGUCCACAUACCAUAAACUG